RNAcentral lists this long non-coding RNA (379 nucleotides) under Bos indicus x Bos taurus (hybrid cattle). RNAcentral's name for it is "lncRNA (ENSBIXG00000022683.1)". The record is from RNAcentral. Lineage: Eukaryota; Metazoa; Chordata; Mammalia; Artiodactyla; Bovidae.
UAUGAUUUUUUUGUUUUGUUUUUUGCCUUUCUGUGUAUCCUGCUAAAUAUAAACUUUUCCUUCAACAGGUCUUGCUGGGAGCUUUCCCUGUGAUCCUUUCAUAUCACUGAGAGCUUGAGAUGCUUGUGAGCCCAGGCAUACACUCGUGCACGCCCACACAAAGAGAAAUGGGAAAAGAGUGUUGGAGAUUGAGAAUAAUUCUGACUCAAACUCAAAUGCAAACAUUGUGCUCGAUGUUCAGAAAGGACCAAGAAUUGAGAUUAUAAAGAUGCCACAAAUGUUCAACAUAAGGAAAUAAGAGGAGACCAUUCAGGACUUUUAUUUGAUGGUAAGGACAAAGGUAGAGUCAUAAUCUGAUUCUAUCCUUAACAGACUUUUA